GCAUUGGUGGCUCAGUUGUAGAAUUCUCGCCUUCUAUGCAGGAGGCCAGGGUUAAAUUCCCCGCCAAUGCA
RNAcentral lists this transfer RNA (71 nucleotides) under Loxodonta africana (African savanna elephant). It matches the Rfam family "tRNA". From Rfam's summary of the family: Transfer RNA (tRNA) molecules are approximately 80 nucleotides in length. Their secondary structure includes four short double-helical elements and three loops (D, anti-codon, and T loops). The record is from Rfam by way of RNAcentral. Lineage: Eukaryota; Metazoa; Chordata; Mammalia; Proboscidea; Elephantidae.